GGCUGCCAGCCGAGAGCGCUGAUUGGCUGCCAGCCGAGAGCGCUGAUUGGCUGCCAGCAGACAUUGGUACGUCAAUCACAUUGGUGGAGACAAUGUAAACAAACAUGGCUGCUGUGGAGCUGGUGCUGCUACUGUACAUCAGCCUGUGGCUUCAAAAUGUUCAUCAUCAUCAGGCAAGGGUAUUCUAUAUAAAGAUGCGAGUGGAUGGAUGAAAGAAAGGAACACAAUGGUAGCAUGAGGAGACCAUCCCACAAACAUCUCCCACCACAACCUACAAAACAGGAGGUAGAACUAGUCAAGAACAAUUCCUCAGAACUGUACAGUAAGUCAGUAAGAUAAUUAGUGAACAUCUUCAGGAAAACAUUGUAAGAAUCAUUAAGGUAAACUGUCAACUAUCCAAGUCUUAAGAUACAAAUAUGGAAGUCAAGUUGGUGCUUUAGGAAACAGUGAGAAUGAAAAGGUUUAUACAAGUGAAUAUUUCUCCUGAAAAUACCAGUGAAGUGCUGCACUGUGUUAAAUACUGUAUAGGUAUUGUCUAAAUACAGUAUGAUGAGAGUUACAAUGUUUCUACUAACUUGUGACUUGUGAUUGUGUUCACUUGGAAUGAAAGUCCCAAUAUAUAAAUGUGACAAGUGUUUGUCUGCUGUGCUUAUAUACUGUUGAGACAAAGUUCACAUGUAAAUAUAUUUCAUACAAGAGUAACUCAAGAAGCACAUACAUGCACAGAACUAUGAAGGGGAAUUAUUUAUUUGUAAAGAGUAGAGAUUUUUUGUUACACAGAAUGAUCAAUUCAAAUGUCUGUCCACUGAUGGACAAAAUUUCCUUGUACAAAGUGUUGUGAAGUGAGCAUAAAAAUGAC
This is a long non-coding RNA of Homarus americanus (American lobster), 859 nucleotides long. RefSeq lists it as uncharacterized. The record is from RefSeq and is a predicted model, not a curated record. Lineage: Eukaryota; Metazoa; Arthropoda; Malacostraca; Decapoda; Nephropidae. The transcript has 3 exons.